Molecule: long non-coding RNA, 842 nt
Organism: Dermacentor albipictus
Lineage: Eukaryota; Metazoa; Arthropoda; Arachnida; Ixodida; Ixodidae
Source: RefSeq, a predicted model, not a curated record
ACGGCGUCUUGCCAGUUCGUAAAAGAUGCUGAAACACGCACACGCUAAUACCUUGUCGGACAAAAUAAUACUCUGAACAGCUUCUCUAAGCAAGCCAGCGCAGUUUCUUGGGAUGCAUUCGCCAGUGUGUUUUUUCGUGGCACUCGCUGCCGUUGUGAUGGCCCUGGUCGAAGAGGUGCGCAUGGUGCAAAAGAGACAGCUGCUGUACUGCGAGGGCGUUCGUUGCACCCGCCAGUGCGUUCGUGAACAUGGCGAGUGGUCGACAGGCUACUGCAAAGGCUCCCGCUGCUUCUGCACCGCUGACCGAGAGUGGCUUCGGAACCUAAGCCGUAGGAGCGUCCCGGAACCAUUACCACAAUUCGCUCUCACACACUGAAGAACAGAAAGAUAUGCGAUACUGCGAUCCACUUCCGAACAGACAAUUGUUGUGCAUGAACCAUUUAAAAAAAGAACACUUGUCCGUUCAUUCGUUAUUUAUGCUUCGUGAAAUAGAGGAAUACGUAAUCAAUUAGUUGUACCUGACGCUUUGGAAUAGCUGCUAGACAUACAACUGCACAACAGGAAGGACUCCUUCGCCUUUAUCGUUGUUUCACACAUCGUACCAUCCGACUUUACUAAUAUGAAUGUGGACAACUGGACGCGAAGGCAACCGCUAGAAGCGCUGACGCUGCAAUUUUUCUUGUGCCAAAAGUGAGACACAUCGCUUCGCCUCGGCGAUUCAAUCCAGCAAUUCAGGAGGUUUACUUUAUUUUGAUUUUUCCCAAACGAUGGCCCUUGUCAUUGAACUUUGCUGAUUAACGUACUAGAGAAGUACAAUAAAAAGGUGCUCGGGACAGUCUAAA